AGCGAACGCUGGCGGCAGGCCUAACACAUGCAAGUCGAACGAACCUUUCGGGGUUAGUGGCGGACGGGUGAGUAACACGUGGGAACGUGCCUUUAGGUUCGGAAUAACUCAGGGAAACUUGUGCUAAUACCGAAUGUGCCCUUCGGGGGAAAGAUUUAUCGCCUUUAGAGCGGCCCGCGUCUGAUUAGCUAGUUGGCUGAGGUAAUGGCUCACCAAGGCGACGAUCAGUAGCUGGUCUGAGAGGAUGAUCAGCCACAUUGGGACUGAGACACGGCCCAAACUCCUACGGGAGGCAGCAGUGGGGAAUCUUGCGCAAUGGGCGAAAGCCUGACGCAGCCAUGCCGCGUGAAUGAUGAAGGUCUUAGGAUUGUAAAAUUCUUUCACCGGGGACGAUAAUGACGGUACCCGGAGAAGAAGCCCCGGCUAACUUCGUG
This 434-nucleotide ribosomal RNA is filed under the name uncultured bacterium. RNAcentral describes it as "partial 16S ribosomal RNA". It matches the Rfam family "Bacterial small subunit ribosomal RNA", at positions 29 to 507 of the family's 1533-position model. The record is from RNAcentral.